Molecule: transfer RNA, 75 nt
Filed under: Polaromonas sp.
Lineage: Bacteria; Pseudomonadati; Pseudomonadota; Betaproteobacteria; Burkholderiales; Comamonadaceae
Description: tRNA-Cys
Rfam family: tRNA
About the family: Transfer RNA (tRNA) molecules are approximately 80 nucleotides in length. Their secondary structure includes four short double-helical elements and three loops (D, anti-codon, and T loops).
Source: RNAcentral
CGCCAGGUGUCCGAUCGGCUUAGGUGGCAGCCUGCAAAGCUGCAUAAGGGGGUUCGAUUCCCUCUCUGGCGUCCA